GUGAGAUACCAGUCUAAGCUAUUCCAGCACACUCUUGUGAGUCAGGCGCCAUAUUGAACUGCAGCCUGCAUGAAUCUGGGCUGUAGCACCAGGAAAAGGAGUCUAGGAGGCAGCCAAUGCUACUCUGACUCCUGGUCAUAGAGGAAGUGAUCUAUGAGAAGGGCAGUAGUCUGGAUCACGGGAGGCGCAGGUGCAAGUCUCUGCUCCAGCAUGUGCACUGGCGUGCGGUGAGCAGUGUCUAUCCCAGCAGCCACGUGACUGAAAGUCUGAACACAGCGCAGCUCCUGAUAGACAGGGAAUGCCCUUGUGAAACUCCCAGGCCUCUGCAUCCCGCACAGAAGCGUGAGUCUCGGCCAUCGCACGCUCACUUUUCCCAUGGCCUCUGUAGACUUGUGCAGUUCUACAGAGCUGCUCAUUUUGAGCUGCUUGGGAAUGCUCUGUCACUAGGGCUGCACAUCCUCACACCAUGGCUGGCUGUAAUCCUUAAUUUUCUUUGCUUUUGAGGGCUUGCAUCAGACUUUUAGACAUUAUUGAACAGAGACGUUUGUGUUUAUCUAUCCACCUGGUGAGGGAAAGGUAAGCAAUUUUUAUGCUUUAAAUGCUUCUCAUAUCUCCCCAAGGGCAUUUACCUGUAGAUACGCUUGUAGUGG
This 650-nucleotide long non-coding RNA is filed under the name Apteryx rowi (Okarito brown kiwi). RNAcentral describes it as "lncRNA (ENSARWG00000002798.1)". The record is from RNAcentral. Lineage: Eukaryota; Metazoa; Chordata; Aves; Apterygiformes; Apterygidae.